UACGGAGGGGGCAAGCGUUGUUCGGAAUUACUGGGCGUAAAGGGCGCGCAGGCGGCUGCUCAAGUCAGGCGUGAAAGGCCUGGGCUCAACCCGGGAAUUGCGCUUGAGACUGGGCUGGCUUGAGUGCGGGAGAGGAUGGUGGAAUUCCCAGUGUAGAGGUGAAAUUCGUAGAUAUUGGGAAGAACACCGGUGGCGAAGGCGGCAUCCUGGACCAUAACUGACACUGAUAAGCGAAAGCCAGGGGAGCAAACGGG
Molecule: ribosomal RNA, 254 nt
Filed under: uncultured bacterium
Lineage: Bacteria
Description: partial 16S ribosomal RNA
Rfam family: Bacterial small subunit ribosomal RNA
Source: RNAcentral